Molecule: long non-coding RNA, 540 nt
Filed under: Lathyrus oleraceus (garden pea)
Lineage: Eukaryota; Viridiplantae; Streptophyta; Magnoliopsida; Fabales; Fabaceae
Description: Pisum sativum (pea) long non-coding RNA (PSAT_LNC040874)
Source: RNAcentral
GCAUUUGGAGAAAUUCAGUAAAUGUUUGAUGAAACAAAUACGCGAUUGAGAGAGAAGGGUGAGAGUUGAGGGAGCGUUUUCUUUGAGCUUGAGAGAGUUUAUGAGAUGGUGAGAGACGCAGUGUGAGAGGGAGACGGAAGUGUCUGUUGUUUCGUUUUCUUUAUUUUCUUUCUUUUUUUUAUUUUUAUUUUAAACAUGAUAGGUUUUUAAAAAAACAUUAAAGGUUUUGCUUAGAAUUCCUAGGUUUAGUUAAUAAUGGUGUUUAUGUUUCCAACUUAUUCCCCAUUGAUAACCCAACAGCCAAGCGGCUGGGUUCAGUUACCGGUAGUCCAACAGUUUUCUCUUUUAUUAGUUUUUUAUUUUAAUUCUAAUUUUUAAUCCAUUUUAGUUUAUUUAUCCAGUCUAGCAUCAAAAUAACAACUAACCAUGAGUGGUCUGGUGGAGAAGGGUAGUAUCAUAGUCUUGAGUAGGGUGGGUUCAAUACUCAUGUGUGGCAUUUUUUUGGCAUUUUAUUUCUUUUAGCUAUUUUAUUUUCUUUUA